RNAcentral lists this transfer RNA (77 nucleotides) under Dreissena polymorpha. It matches the Rfam family "tRNA". Rfam says of the family: Transfer RNA (tRNA) molecules are approximately 80 nucleotides in length. Their secondary structure includes four short double-helical elements and three loops (D, anti-codon, and T loops). Lineage: Eukaryota; Metazoa; Mollusca; Bivalvia; Myida; Dreissenidae. The record is from Rfam by way of RNAcentral.
GUUGUCGUUGCAGAGUAGUUAAUGCGAUAGACUAGACUUGGGAUCUUCCCGCGCAGGUUCGAAUCCUGCCGACAACG